This 954-nucleotide ribosomal RNA is filed under the name Serendip sp. MZUSP 7987. RNAcentral's name for it is "16S ribosomal RNA". The stretch from base 635 to 912 matches the Rfam family "Bacterial large subunit ribosomal RNA", at positions 2074 to 2646 of the family's 2925-position model. The record is from RNAcentral. Lineage: Eukaryota; Metazoa; Platyhelminthes; Cestoda; Tetraphyllidea; Serendipidae.
UCUAUUGAUUAUGUUUACAAUUUAUUAUUAGGUUAGUGUGCCUUUUGCAUCAUGCUUAGUGGAAAGUUUGGAACACUCCUUUGACCGAAAAAUCCAGAUCUCUUUUGCUAUUGGAGAGAAAAAACCCGGGUAGGGUUUAUUCAAAUAGUAUUUGUGGUGUGAAAAAUUAAACGUUGGUUUUUAUAGCUGUUCAAUGGUGUUUAAAUUUUUACUUACGUAGCGAAGAGGUUACGUAAGAGUGUAUACCUGUUUGUUCAUUGUUUUUAUGAAAGGGUUAAAAUUACCCUCUUGUUAUAAAAAUGUUAAAAUUUUUUUGAGCGUGUCUACCUGGUUAUGCUUUAUUCACCAUUUGUUUCAACAUUUAGUCUCAUUUAUCACUAAAUAAGUAAUUUAAAUAUAUCUGAUUGUUUCUCAAGACUUGUCCGUCUGUUUAUUAAAAACAUUUCCAUAUAUUAUCUUUUAUGGUAUUACCUGCUCUAUGCUUUUGUAAAUGGCCGCAGUAUCUUGACUGUGCGAAGGUAGCAUAAUUAAUUGCCCCAUAAUUAGGGGCUUGUUUGAAUGGUUUGACGUGAUAAUAUCGAACACUCAGUGUUUAAUUGAAAUUAAUAUUGAGGGCACAGAAUCCUCAGGUGUUAAUUAGACGGAAAGACCCCGGGAUCUUUUAUUUUUGCCUGGGGCAGGUGUAAAUGUUUCAUUUAUAUUAAGACCCUCUUGGUCUAUUGGGAUAAGUUACCCCGGGGAUAACAGUGUAAUAAUUUAUUAGAGGUCUUAUCGAAUAAAUUGUUUGCCACCUCGAUGUUGACUUAGGUGUUUAGCUAGGGCGCAGUAGUUUUAGUUGUAGGUCUGUUCGACCUUUGUCACCUCCAUGAGUUGAGUUAAGACCGGUGUAAGCCAGGUCGGUUCUUAUCUAUUUUUCUGGCUCACUAGUACGAAAGGAUUGUGAGUUGUUUUAUU